GCGACCGAUCAGGUUGUUGGUGAGGUAAUGACUCACCAAGCCUUUUACCGGUGCGGGCCGUGAGAGCGGGAGCCCGGAGAUGGGCACUGAGACAAGGGCCCAGGCCCUACGGGGCGCAGCAGUCGCGAAAACUUUGCAAUACACGAAAGUGUGACAGGGCUAUCCCGAGUGCCAUCCGCUGAGGAAGGCUUUUACCCAGUCUAGAACGCUGGGGGAAUAAGGAGAGGGCAAGUCUGGUGUCAGCCGCCGCGGUAAUACCAGCUCUCCGAGUGGUGUGGAUGUUUAUUGGGCCUAAAGCAUCCGUAGCUGGCUGAGUUAGUCCCUUGUUAAAUCCACCGAAUUAAUCGUUGGAUUGCGGGGGAUACUGCUCGGCUAGGGGACGAGAGAGGCAGACGGUAUUUCUGGGGUAGGGGUGAAAUCCUAUAAUCCCAGGAGGACCACCAGUGGCGAAGGCUGUCUGCUAGAACGCGCCCGACGGUGAGGGAUGAAAGCUGGGGGAGCGAACCGGAUUAGAUACCCGGGUAGUCCCAGCUGUAAACGAUGCAGACUAGGUGUUUGGACGGCCACGUGCCGUUCUAGUGCCGCAGGGAAGCUGUUAAGUCUGCCGCCUGGGGAGUACGAUCGCAAGAUUGAAACUUAAAGGAAUUGGCGGGGGAGCACCACAAGGGGUGAAGCUUGC
Molecule: ribosomal RNA, 679 nt
Filed under: uncultured archaeon
Lineage: Archaea
Description: bacterial SSU rRNA
Rfam family: Archaeal small subunit ribosomal RNA
Source: RNAcentral